GUCCAUCAACUGAUGAAUGGAUGAAGAAAUUCUGGUUUAUAUACACAAAGAAAUGUACUUUAAAAAUUUUUAUUUUUAUUUUAGAGAGAGAGAGCAUGAAAGGAGGAGAGAGGCAGAGGGAGAGAAAAAGAGAAUCUCUGAAUGGAUCCCAAUGUGGGGCUCAGUCUCACAACCGUGAGAUCAAAAUCUGAGCCAAUAUCAAGAGAUGCUUAACUGAUGGAGCCACCCAGGUGCCCCCAGAAAUGUGCUUGAGGAGCAGAAAAGCCAAGAUUAUAGGAUAUCAAGAUGGGAUUGUGGCUGAGCUGGAAGAGAAAAGAACAUCACCAAUAGAAAAAAACUGAGAGUAAUAGGGCUUUAGGUGUUAAGCCCCUCUUUUGGGCAGAGGAAGCAUCCAAAUCCAAGAGCCCUAUGAACCUGGUGGUAAAGCAGAUCUGCUCUGCUUCUUUUUGCCCAAAGUACUACCAACAUGCAGCACAACUCAACGGCAUGUUCUUUAUGAAGGCUUCUCCCCCUUCUGUGCUCCAUGUGCCUCUAUUCGAACACUGUCCUGAGGACAAAAAACAUGUCUGGCAUUUCUCCAUGUCUAGAGCGUGGUGUACCUAGGAUAUUGCAGGUGCUCAGCAAAUGUCUGCUGAAUGAAUAAAUUGACAUGACUGUUGGACUAAAAUAAAUCA
Molecule: long non-coding RNA, 674 nt
Filed under: Felis catus (domestic cat)
Lineage: Eukaryota; Metazoa; Chordata; Mammalia; Carnivora; Felidae
Description: lncRNA (ENSFCAG00000045747.2)
Source: RNAcentral